RNAcentral lists this transfer RNA (98 nucleotides) under Acidobacteriota bacterium. RNAcentral's name for it is "Acidobacteria bacterium (activated sludge metagenome) tRNA-Sec". It matches the Rfam family "Selenocysteine transfer RNA". RNAcentral also lists the same sequence under 1 other name. The record is from RNAcentral. Lineage: Bacteria; Pseudomonadati; Acidobacteriota.
GGAGGUGAAUGGGGCCUGGUGGUUUCCGCAGACUUCAAAUCUGUAGUGGGUCAAGUAUGCUUGGCCUGGGUGGGUUCGAUUCCUACACAUCUCCGCCA